Molecule: ribosomal RNA, 473 nt
Filed under: uncultured organism
Description: partial 16S ribosomal RNA
Rfam family: Bacterial small subunit ribosomal RNA
Source: RNAcentral
ACACUCCUGCGGGAGGCAGCAGUGGGGAAUUUUGGACAAUGGGCGAAAGCCUGAUCCAGCAAUGCCGCGUGCAGGAUGAAGGCCUUCGGGUUGUAAACUGCUUUUGUACGGAACGAAAAAGCUCCUUCUAAUACAGGGGGCCCAUGACGGUACCGUAAGAAUAAGCACCGGCUAACUACGUGCCAGCAGCCGCGGUAAUACGUAGGGUGCGAGCGUUAAUCGGAAUUACUGGGCGUAAAGCGUGCGCAGGCGGUUAUGUAAGACAGAUGUGAAAUCCCCGGGCUCAACCUGGGAACUGCAUUUGUGACUGCAUGGCUAGAGUACGGUAGAGGGGGAUGGAAUUCCGCGUGUAGCAGUGAAAUGCGUAGAUAUGCGGAGGAACACCGAUGGCGAAGGCAAUCCCCUGGACCUGUACUGACGCUCAUGCACGAAAGCGUGGGGAGCAAACAGGAUUAGAUACCCGGGUAGUCCCA